GGCCUGGCGCGUCCGCCGAGCGCGGGGGUUUGUUUAUUUUCCCGGUUGGUAGCGGCGCUGGCGCUGGUUAGAGGUUCGCCGGUGACGUGAGCGCCCGAGUUGGGGGAGAGGACCAGAACCACCUGCUGGAGAAAGGGAGCUACGGGGGCCGGGCAGGGUCCAAACGCCUCACGUGGGCGGCGGCGCCACGGUCUUCGGGGUCACAGGGAAGAGAAGGGCUCUCCUCAAGCGGGUGGAAGGAGGGAGGCCUCCCGAGGGAAUGAGACUCCAGGCCACUCCCCCGCAGCAAGGCAGGAUCACCUGCGUCGCGGAGAGCAGUUAGAGGUCCCUGGAGUGGAAAAGGGCAGUGGGACCUGGUAGCUUGGGUUCCCUGCAACUUGGGGUUCGACCUCCAGGCAAUGAAGUAGGGAUGGUCCUGCAAGUCAAGAUUCCAGUAGCAAGAGUGCAUCAGAUCUCUGUAAGGAAAAUAACUAACAUUGCUCAGUUCCCUGUAGAGUUGCAGGGCGCUUUGACGUUAUCUCCCUUGGUUCUCCAUCAGGUCGUAGUGGACUAAUUUUACAGGCGAAGUUAAGUGACUUACCCAAAACCUCACAGCUAAUAAACGGCAGAGCCGGCACCCAGCUGUACUGGCUUCCAGCGCAUCCCAUUAUCUCCAUAAAUCCCCCUGAUUCAACUAAUAUUAGACGCCCCACAGAUGACCACAAGCCUCUGGGGUUGGCAGAGCCACAAGAAAGAAGGUGCCUGGAUGAAGGAGAGCUACCCACUGACCUGGACACCCAAUUAUGUCAUAGGUGCUGCAAUCUAGAGACAAAAUAUUCCUUACACUGCCAGAUACUUGCAAACUAAGGGGAACGAGCUUCCCUCUGAAUGUUUAUGAAGGAGAGACCACUGUGUCAUCUGUCUUAGAGCUAUUGGAAUCCUGGAUCAUUGUGGGAAAUGAAAAGAACUGGUUUUUAGCAAGGAGACCAAGAAACUCUACUCCCUAGGGGCUAGCAAUGAGAGAAAGGAAGCCUUGAGUCUUUGAGCACAGGGUGACAGUUUGGGUCCUAUGUGAGAUGAUCAAAUCCACAGCAACAGAGGAAAGGACAAAAGGAAAAGAUACUUCGAUGGAAUCAGCAGCCAUUGAUCCAAUGCCAACUCCAAGACUGGAACGUCGCAAUGAUAGUUCCAAGGCGGAAAUUUGAC
RNAcentral lists this long non-coding RNA (1185 nucleotides) under Homo sapiens (human). RNAcentral describes it as "HSALNT0353255". The record is from RNAcentral. Lineage: Eukaryota; Metazoa; Chordata; Mammalia; Primates; Hominidae.